AGUGAACGCUGGCGGUAGGCCUAACACAUGCAAGUCGAACGGCAGCACAGGAGAACUUGCUCUCUGGGUGGCGAGUGGCGGACGGGUGAGGAAUACAUCGGAAUCUACUUUUUCGUGGGGGAUAACGUAGGGAAACUUACGCUAAUACCGCAUACGACCUACGGGUGAAAGCAGGGGAUCUUCGGACCUUGCGCGAUUGAAUGAGCCGAUGUCGGAUUAGCUAGUUGGCGGGGUAAAGGCCCACCAAGGCGACGAUCCGUAGCUGGUCUGAGAGGAUGAUCAGCCACACUGGAACUGAGACACGGUCCAGACUCCUACGGGAGGCAGCAGUGGGGAAUAUUGGACAAUGGGCGCAGGCCUGAUCCAGCCAUACCGCGUGGGUGAAGAAGGCCUUCGGGUUGUAAAGCCCUUUUGUUGGGAAAGAAAUCCAGCUGGUUAAUACCCGGUUGGGAUGACGGUACCCAAAGAAUAAGCACCGGCUAACUUCGUGCCAGCAGCCGCCGUAA
RNAcentral lists this ribosomal RNA (506 nucleotides) under uncultured bacterium. Its description in RNAcentral is "partial 16S ribosomal RNA". It matches the Rfam family "Bacterial small subunit ribosomal RNA", at positions 29 to 523 of the family's 1533-position model. The record is from RNAcentral.